RNAcentral lists this long non-coding RNA (2716 nucleotides) under Canis lupus familiaris (dog). Its description in RNAcentral is "lncRNA (ENSCAFG00000053237.1, ENSCAFG00805006700.1, ENSCAFG00845003402.1)". The record is from RNAcentral. Lineage: Eukaryota; Metazoa; Chordata; Mammalia; Carnivora; Canidae.
AAACCACAGAGUGAGGGGGUUUAGCAAAGAUAAUGCCAAUCAGAGAGAAGACUGCUCUUGUGGCUGGGGGUUUACUUGGCAGCAAGCUGAGAGAGUGGGUGCUUAUUUGCUCUGCCAUGUUCAAAAUGCUGUUCGAUUACGAGAGGAAACCUAUUCUUUUCCAGCCCUCUGUGAGCUGCAGUGUUGUAUACUGCUUGCUUUCUCUUAAAGCAUAAAUAUUCAGUGGUCCAUCAGAUACUCUUAUUUUUAUUUUAAUAAGUUGUAGUCUGUCUGUAGAAAUCAUCCCUUUCUCUAUCUACCUAUCCUCCAGCCAGCCACUCAGUAACUUAUGUGAACUAGAGCAAGGGAGUAGGAUCGGACACAACUCCAAACUACAAGCACAUGUGUGAUGUGAUAGCAAGAACUGUGAUGCCCAGGGAAGGUGCAGAAAGGACAAAGCCAUUUCAUCCCUCCAUACCAGUGUUUCUCAAACUUCCAUAAUUGUCAGAAAUUCAUGAUUUCUGCCAUAUGUAAGGAUCACCGUUAAUUAUAGGAUUAUUCAUAGCCUUCCUUGAACCCAUUCACUUAAAAUGCCUCCUAUGGCCUCGAAGAAAACAUUACUAACUAUAAAAGCAUAGUUUUGAUGCGUUGAUCUAUUUUUUCUGACCUAUUAAAAGAAAUGUAUCGCUAUAUAAUCAUCUCCUAUAUCUUGAAGAACAUGUAUAAUCAGUGGUACAUGUACCAAAAGAAAUAGGAAUCUACCUUUCAGAAAAGGAUUCAGGGGUGAACAGGUCGAACUAAAAAUCUUGGCUUAUGCGUGCACGUGUAUGAAACAUACACAUUUCAACUAAGCUUCAUUAUUUUACCCCUUCCUUCUGUUAAGACCUUCCUUUCGUAGUAAAUCAGCGACCCAAAGGUUUUGUAUGAUUAAUUUCCCGGGGAUCAGGGGAAGAAUGGUUUGGUGAAUAUUUUGCUGAUUAGAACAGGAGCAGGAGCCCCAAGUGCUCAUAGAGACCACAUAUCUAUUAUGUCCAACACCAAGAAUUCAUCUUUUGACACCAGUAUCAGAUAUACUCUAAAACUUUAGAAUAAGGAAGUGAUUGAAAAUGUUCUAUAAGUAAGGUUUAGAGUCAGCAGGGUUUUAUUCCUCCAUGCUUUACAUACUUUUAAUUUUUUAUUUUGCUUUCAUGUCUCAUUAUGUUUCCAUGGUUUACACAGAAAUCAAAUAAAAAUGUACCAGACCAAAGCUUUAUAACACAGACAAGAAAAAAACACUAAGUAUUAUUCUGAAGUGCUAAUAGAUGUGGCUACUAAGAUCUUUAGGUACUUUUUCAGCAUGAUAAGUGUACUCUAUUCCCCAUCUGCUAUUUCACUGGGACCUCCCCCACCCACUUCCCCUCUGGUAACCAUUUGCUCUCUCUAGUUAAGAGUCUGUGUCUUGGUUUGUCUUUUUAUUUUUCCUUUGCUCAUUUGUUUCUUAAAUUCCACAUAUGAGUGAGAUCAGACAGUACUUGUUCUCUUAUUUCACUUAGCAUUAUACUCUCUAGCUCCAUCCAGGUCAUUGCAAAUGGCAAGAUUUUAUUAUUUUUGACGGCUGAGAAAUAUUCCAUUGUGUGUGUGGUAUGUGUGUGUGUGUGUGCGCGUGCAUAUGCAUAUAUAUCCACAUCUUCCUUCAUUCAAUGGAUACUUGGGCUGCUUCUAAAAUUUGCUUCUAUAAUAACGCUGCUAUAAACAUAGGGGUGUGUAUAUCCCUUUGAAUUAGUGUUUUUGUAUUUUGAGGGAAACACCCAGUAGUGUGAUACCUGGGAUUGUAAGGUAGUUCUAUUUUUAAUUUUUAUUUAUUUAUGAUAGUCAUAGAGAGAGAGAGAGAGAGAGAGGCAGAGACAUAGGCAGAGUGAGAAGCAGGCUCCAUGCACCGGGAGCCCGACGUGGGAUUCGAUCCCGGGACUCCAGGAUCGCGCCCUGGGCCAAAGGCAGGCGCUAAACUGCUGCACCACCCAGGGAUCCCUAUUUUUAAUUUUUUGAGGAACCUCCAUACUGUUUUCCACUAUGGCCGCACCAGUUUGCAUUCCCACCAACAGAGCAAGAGGGUUUUUUUUUUUUUCUACUUCCUCGUCAACACUUGUGGUUUCUUGUGUUGUUGAUUUUAGCCAUCCUGACAGGUGUGAGGUGGUAUCUCAUUGUGGUUGAUUUGCAUUUUCCUGAUGAUGAGCAUCUUUUCAUGUGUCUGUUGGUCAUCUGUAUGUCUUCUUUGGAGGUAUGUUUCUUCAUGUCUUCUGCUCAUUUUUAAAUUGGAUUAUUUGGAUUUUGGGUGUUGAGUUUUAGAAGUUCGUGAGUGGCUAUGUCAUUUGCAGAAAUCUUUUCCCACUCCAUAGGUUGUCUUUCAGUUUUGUUGUCUCCGUCACUGUGCCAAAGCUUUUUAUUUUGAUGAUGUCCCAAUAAUUUCUAUAUGUUUUUGUUUCCCUUGCUUUAGCAGACAUAUCUUGAAAAAUGCUGCUAUGGCUAAUGUUAGAGAAAUCACUGCUUGUGCUCUCUUCUAGGAUUUGUAUGGUUUCAGGUCUCACAUUUAAUUCUUUAAUCUAUUCUGAGUUUGUUUUUGUGUAUGGUGUGAAAGUGAUCCAGUGUUAUUCUUUUACAUGUAGCCAUCCAGUGUUCCCAGCACCAUGUUGAAGAGUACCUAUUUCAGUCUUAAAGAAACGGUGCCUUGAGGCUGCCUCAUUUCCUUUGGAGUCAAUCA